CCAUGAGUAAAGUGGCGUACGGGUGAGUAACACGUGGGUAUCUACCUUUUGGUGUGGAGUAACUCUGGGAAACCGGAGCUAAUACCGCAUAAGUCCGCAAGGGGGAAGUCGCAAGACGCCGAUAGAGGAGCCCGCGGCCGAUUAGCUAGUUGGUAGGGUAAUGGCCUACCAAGGCUACGAUCGGUAGCCGGCCUGAGAGGGCACACGGCCACACUGGCACUGAAACACGGGCCAG
Molecule: ribosomal RNA, 235 nt
Filed under: uncultured bacterium
Lineage: Bacteria
Description: partial 16S ribosomal RNA
Rfam family: Bacterial small subunit ribosomal RNA
Source: RNAcentral